Molecule: non-coding RNA, 46 nt
Filed under: Pelobates cultripes (western spadefoot toad)
Lineage: Eukaryota; Metazoa; Chordata; Amphibia; Anura; Pelobatidae
Rfam family: Histone 3' UTR stem-loop
About the family: The mRNAs of metazoan histone genes lack a poly-A tail.
Source: RNAcentral
CCAAAGGCUCUUUUCAGAGCCAUUAACCUAUAUCUUGCCAGUGAUC